AUGAACGCUGGCGGCGUGCCUAAUACAUGCAAGUCGAGCGAACGGACGAGAAGCUUGCUUCUCUGAUGUUAGCGGCGGACGGGUGAGUAACACGUGGAUAACCUACCUAUAAGACUGGGAUAACUUCGGGAAACCGGAGCUAAUACCGGAUAAUAUUUUGAACCGCAUGGUUCAAAAGUGAAAGACGGUCUUGCUGUCACUUAUAGAUGGAUCCGCGCUGCAUUAGCUAGUUGGUAAGGUACGGCUUACCAAGGCAACGAUGCAUAGCCGACCUGAGAGGGUGAUCGGCCACACUGGAACUGAGACACGGUCCAGACUCCUACGGGAGGCAGCAGUAGGGAAUCUUCCGCAAUGGGCGAAAGCCUGACGGAGCAACGCCGCGUGAGUGAUGAAGGUCUUCGGAUCGUAAAACUCUGUUAUUAGGGAAGAACAUAUGUGUAAGUAACUGUGCACAUCUUGACGGUACCUAAUCAGAAAGCCACGGCUAACUACGUG
RNAcentral lists this ribosomal RNA (495 nucleotides) under uncultured bacterium. Its description in RNAcentral is "partial 16S ribosomal RNA". It matches the Rfam family "Bacterial small subunit ribosomal RNA", at positions 29 to 507 of the family's 1533-position model. The record is from RNAcentral.